Aedes albopictus (Asian tiger mosquito) is the source of this 76-nucleotide non-coding RNA. The record is from Rfam. Lineage: Eukaryota; Metazoa; Arthropoda; Insecta; Diptera; Culicidae.
UGUUCUGUGGCGAGGUUAGCUAACGCGCUCUGUCCAGUGACUUUGUGAGACGUGGGUUCAAAUCCCACCAGAACUG